Molecule: ribosomal RNA, 429 nt
Filed under: Chloroflexota bacterium
Lineage: Bacteria; Bacillati; Chloroflexota
Description: Chloroflexi bacterium partial 16S ribosomal RNA
Rfam family: Bacterial small subunit ribosomal RNA
Source: RNAcentral
UGGGGAAUAUUGCACAAUGGGCGCAAGCCUGAUGCAGCCAUGCCGCGUGUAUGAAGAAGGCCUUCGGGUUGUAAAGUACUUUCAGCGGGGAGGAAGGGAGUAAAGUUAAUACCUUUGCUCAUUGACGUUACCCGCAGAAGAAGCACCGGCUAACUCCGUGCCAGCAGCCGCGGUAAUACGGAGGGUGCAAGCGUUAAUCGGAAUUACUGGGCGUAAAGCGCACGCAGGCGGUUUGUUAAGUCAGAUGUGAAAUCCCCGGGCUCAACCUGGGAACUGCAUCUGAUACUGGCAAGCUUGAGUCUCGUAGAGGGGGGUAGAAUUCCAGGUGUAGCGGUGAAAUGCGUAGAGAUCUGGAGGAAUACCGGUGGCGAAGGCGGCCCCCUGGACAAAGACUGACGCUCAGGUGCGAAAGCGGGGGGAGCAAACAGG